GGUAUGAUGGCUGAGGGUUUAAGCGGUGGAUUGUAGCCCCAUGAAGAGAGGUUCAAAUCCUCUUCGUACCG
RNAcentral lists this transfer RNA (71 nucleotides) under Brachaluteres ulvarum (Japanese inflator filefish). RNAcentral describes it as "tRNA-Tyr". It matches the Rfam family "tRNA". Rfam says of the family: Transfer RNA (tRNA) molecules are approximately 80 nucleotides in length. Their secondary structure includes four short double-helical elements and three loops (D, anti-codon, and T loops). Lineage: Eukaryota; Metazoa; Chordata; Actinopteri; Tetraodontiformes; Monacanthidae. The record is from RNAcentral.